Molecule: long non-coding RNA, 1202 nt
Organism: Mustela lutreola (European mink)
Lineage: Eukaryota; Metazoa; Chordata; Mammalia; Carnivora; Mustelidae
Exons: 3
Source: RefSeq, a predicted model, not a curated record
CGGCCCCUUUCGCUGGGCGCGGCGGUGGGCACUGGAGCGUGCAUCGCCUGCCGGGCCGCCCCGCUUGGGGACAAUGGCUUCUCUUCGCAGAAGGGGCCUGUGCGGGACAAGAGCCUCCUUUGUGUUGGGAUUCCUGCCUUGGAGCGCGAGGGGGGUGCAUUCAGCCGGCCCUAGACACUCUUUGAAAGGCCCGGGUGCAACAGAAGACGCCGAAACACUAGCCUGCCUUCUGCCUCCCGCAUUCUUGCAAGCCCGACCGCCCCUUCAGCCUGCGGAGAAUGGCCCUGCGCCCCAGGAGCGGAGCCCCUGCCACAUUGUCCCUGGCGUGGUCAUCUUGGUUUCUCAGCGCCCUUCACUAGCCUCGAGACAAGAGCCUGGGCCGGAGCACGACAGCCGCUAACACAUGGCCCAACCUCCAAGGACCAAGCACUGGCGGUCCAGAGUCCUGCUCCCCGGCCUCGUGCAGACCCGAGUCACUCCCGGCGCUCCUGGCCGGCCUCCAAGACCUCCAGAGCCCCACCAGCGCCAUGAGGCUCCUGAACCCACAUCCCCACAUCUGACCUUGCUAGGCCUUCCCAGAACAGAGGAGCCGAAUGACCGACCCGGCACAGCCCACGCCCAGGAGCACCGCACGUUCUGCAGGACUCUGCCAUCACGACCCGUAACCCGUGCCCCACACUGAACUUCCACAGACACACACGGGCACCAGCCCGGGCUGGUCCCGGGGAUCCCUGGUCCAGCAAGGAGCCGACAGGGCCCUCCAGGUGUCCGACCCUCACGGGGGCGCCCCCACUGGUCUGAUCUGACCCAAUCCCCCACAGGUGUUCCUGGGAAGUGACCAAUGAGGCUGGGUGAGUGGCUGGUCCACGGCUGGUCCACGGCUGGCCCUUGGCCGGCCCACGGCUGGCCCACAGCUGGCCCACAGGGCUUCCAGGCCAGAGCCAGGGUGUCCUUGGGCCGCGGACCCAUUUGAGGACCCGAUGGCACCUCAAGAGGAAGGACCCCAGGUGCUGAGGCAGAGAGCCAGGCAGGUGCGGGGGCCGCUCCCAGAAUCCUCCAGCUCAGUGCAUGUGAGUAUCUCCUAGGGCCCCAACGUCUGGCACAGCCCUGAGCUGGGCCUCUGGGGGGCUGGUCCCUGAACCCUCUGCACCAGACCCGAUGCCCCUCAGCCCUGGGCAGCCCCCAACAGGGGGGCCCUGUGA